Molecule: ribosomal RNA, 492 nt
Filed under: uncultured bacterium
Lineage: Bacteria
Description: partial 16S ribosomal RNA
Rfam family: Bacterial small subunit ribosomal RNA
Source: RNAcentral
AGUGAACGCUGGCGGUAGGCCUAACACAUGCAAGUCGAACGGCAGCACAGUAAGAGCUUGCUCCUACGGGUGGCGAGUGGCGGACGGGUGAGGAAUACAUCGGAAUCUACUUUUUCGUGGGGGAUAACGUAGGGAAACUUACGCUAAUACCGCAUACGACCUACGGGUGAAAGCAGGGGAUCUUCGGACCUUGCGCGAUUGAAUGAGCCGAUGUCGGAUUAGCUAGUUGGCGGGGUAAAGGCCCACCAAGGCGACGAUCCGUAGCUGGUCUGAGAGGAUGAUCAGCCACACUGGAACUGAGACACGGUCCAGACUCCUACGGGAGGCAGCAGUGGGGAAUAUUGGACAAAGGGCGCAAGCCUGAUCCAGCCAUACCGCGUGGGUGAAGAAGGCCUUCGGGUUGUAAAGCCCUUUUGUUGGGAAAGAAAAGCAGCAGGUUAAUACCCCGCUGUUCUGACGGUACCCAAAGAAUAAGCACCGGCUAACUUCGUG